GCUGGGUGCAGUGGCACAUGCCUGUAGUCCCAGCUACUCGGGAGGCUAAGUUGGGAGGACUGCUUGAGCCCAGGAGUUCUGGGCUGUAGUGCGCUAUGCUGAUCGGGUGUCUGCAGUACGUUUGGCGUUGAUAUGGUGACCUCAUGGGAGCGGGGAGCCACCAGCUUGCCUAAGGAGGGGUGAACCGGCCCAGUUUGGAAAUGGAGCAGGUCAAAACUCCCGUGCUGAUCAGUAGUGGGAUUGCUCCUGUGAAUAGCUGCUGUACUCCAGCCUGGGCAACAUAGUGAGACCCCAUCUCUU
Unclassified non-coding RNA from Callithrix jacchus (white-tufted-ear marmoset), 300 nucleotides. It matches the Rfam family "Metazoan signal recognition particle RNA". Rfam says of the family: The signal recognition particle (SRP) is a universally conserved ribonucleoprotein. It is involved in the co-translational targeting of proteins to membranes. The eukaryotic SRP consists of a 300-nucleotide 7S RNA and six proteins: SRPs 72, 68, 54, 19, 14, and 9. The record is from Ensembl. Lineage: Eukaryota; Metazoa; Chordata; Mammalia; Primates; Cebidae.